Molecule: long non-coding RNA, 1206 nt
Organism: Cyprinus carpio (common carp)
Lineage: Eukaryota; Metazoa; Chordata; Actinopteri; Cypriniformes; Cyprinidae
Source: Ensembl
AUGAAGUUUUCAGUAUCAAAAACUCAAUAUAUGGUUUUCUCAAGGAAAAAGAAAAUUGAACAGAUUACACUGAAGUUAUAUGAUCAACUGUUAGAAAGAGUGAUAGAGUUUAAGUAUCUUGGUUUAAUCUUUGAUGAGAAGAUGACUUGGAAACAACAUAUUAAGAAAAUUGAAAAUAAAUGCAAAAGAGUAAUAAAUUGUAUGACCUCAAUAACUAAAUAUGAAUGGGGAGCAAGGAAAAGUGCAAUGUUAUGUAUAUAUCAAGCCCUAGUACGUUCUAGCAUAGAUUACGGAUGUGCAGUGUAUGGUGAUGCAGCUAAAUCUCAGUUAAAGAAACUGGAGAACAUACAAUCUAGAGCGCUUAGAAUCUGCUGUGGAGCUAUAAGAUCAACUCCUCUAGAUGCUGUCAGGGUUGAAAUGGGGGAAAUGCCAUUAGAUCUGAGAAGAGAAAAGCUUGCAAUGAUGUAUUGGGCUAACUUAAAAGGUGGUAAGAAGAAUCAUUGUACACGCGUAAUAUUAAAUGACUGUUGGGAAUACAAAAAGAAUGGAGGAAAUAGCUUUGGCUGGAAAUAUGGACAGUGGGUCAAGGAUUAUGGUAUAGAGGAUGAAGCAAUUUGUCCUAACUUGCCAUUAAGUGGUGUGGCAGUGUGGAAUAUUACUGAACCUGUUGUUGAAAUGAGAUUAUUGGAGGCUCGGGAAAAAGCAGAAGAAAUAUGCAGUAAUAGUUAUAGAGUUAAUGUUUUUAUGAGAGAAAACUUUAAUUCUUUUGUGCAGAUUUACACAGAUGGAUCUAAGGAUCCAAUUGAGCAAAAAGUGGGCAUAGGAGUGUAUAUUCCAAAUUUUAAGACAGAAAUAAGCUUGAGGCUAAGUAACAAACUGUCUGUGUACUCUACUGAGCUAACUGCAAUUAUAGUAGGACUACAAUGGGUUGAACAGGUUAGGCCAAACAGGAUAUUAAUUUGCUCAGAUUCUUCAUCAGCUCUUAAAAGUAUAAAGUCUACAAAAAGUGAUAGAGAAGACCUGUUAGUGGAAAUUUAUACUUUAUUGUACAGAUUGAAAAUGGAAGGUAUAAUUGUAUAUUUUUGUUGGGUGCCAGCACAUAUCGGGAUAAUAGGGAAUGAAAUAGCUGAUAAAUUAGCAAAAGAGGCAUUAAAGAAAAACAUGGUGGAAGUUAAAGUCCCUUUGGGUAGAAGUGAAAAAAUCUGA